GGGGAAUAUUGGACAAUGGGCGAGAGCCUGAUCCAGCCAUGCCGCCUGAGUGAUGAAGGCCUUAGGGUUGUAAAGCUCUUUCAGUGGGGAAGAUAAUGACGGUACCCACAGAAGAAGCCCCGGCUAACUUCGUGCCAGCAGCCGCGGUAAUACGAAGGGGGCUAGCGUUGUUCGGAUUUACUGGGCGUAAAGCGCACGUAGGCGGAUCAUUAAGUCAGGGGUGAAAUCCUGGAGCUCAACUCCAGAACUGCCUUUGAUACUGGUGAUCUUGAGUCCGGAAGAGGUGAGUGGAACUCCUAGUGUAGAGGUGGAAUUCGUAGAUAUUAGGAAGAACACCAGUGGCGAAGGCGGCUCACUGGUCCGGUACUGACGCUGAGGUGCGAAAGCGUGGGGAGCAAAC
This 400-nucleotide ribosomal RNA is filed under the name uncultured bacterium. RNAcentral's name for it is "bacterial SSU rRNA". It matches the Rfam family "Bacterial small subunit ribosomal RNA", at positions 356 to 773 of the family's 1533-position model. The record is from RNAcentral.